GACGAACGCUGGCGGCGUGCUUAACACAUGCAAGUCGAACGGUAAGGCUCCAGCUUGCUGGGGUACACGAGUGGCGAACGGGUGAGUAACACGUGGGUGACCUGCCCUGCACUUCGGGAUAAGCCUGGGAAACUGGGUCUAAUACCGGAUAGGACCGCACCGUGAGGGUGUGGUGGAAAGUUUUUUCGGUGUGGGAUGGGCCCGCGGCCUAUCAGCUUGUUGGUGGGGUAAUGGCCUACCAAGGCGGCGACGGGUAGCCGGCCUGAGAGGGUGGACGGCCACAUUGGGACUGAGACACGGCCCAGACUCCUACGGGAGGCAGCAGUGGGGAAUAUUGCACAAUGGGCGGAAGCCUGAUGCAGCGACGCCGCGUGGGGGAUGACGGCCUUCGGGUUGUAAACUCCCUUCACCAUCGACUAAGGGUUUCUGACGGUAGAUGGAGAAGAAGCACUGGGUAGCUACGUGCCUUCAGGCGCGGUAAAACCUCGGGUGCGAGCGUUGUCUGGCAUUACUGGGCGCAAUUGCGUCGUCGGCGGGCUGUCCCACCAUCAAAAAAAUUCCGCGGCCCCUCACCCGGGGUUGCCUGUU
Molecule: ribosomal RNA, 588 nt
Filed under: uncultured Corynebacterium sp.
Lineage: Bacteria; Bacillati; Actinomycetota; Actinomycetes; Mycobacteriales; Corynebacteriaceae
Description: bacterial SSU rRNA
Rfam family: Bacterial small subunit ribosomal RNA
Source: RNAcentral